GACGAACGCUGGCGGCGUGCUUAACACAUGCAAGUCGAACGGAAAGGCCCUGCUUUUGUGGGGUGCUCGAGUGGCGAACGGGUGAGUAACACGUGAGUAACCUGCCCUUGUCUUUGGGAUAACUUCAGGAAACUGGGGCUAAUACCGGAUAGGAGCUCCUGCUGCAUGGUGGGGGUUGGAAAGUUUCGGCGGUUGGGGAUGGACUCGCGGCUUAUCAGCUUGUUGGUGAGGUAGUGGCUUACCAAGGCUUCGACGGGUAGCCGGCCUGAGAGGGUUACCGGCCACAUUGGGACUGAGAUACGGCCCAGACUCCUACGGGAGGCAGCAGUGGGGAAUAUUGCACAAUGGGCGGAAGCCUGAUGCAGAAACGCCGCGUGCGGGAUGACGGCCUUCGGGUUGUAAACCGCUUUCGCCUGUGACGAAGCGUGAGUGACGGUAAUGGGUAAAGAAGCACCGGCUAACUACGUG
RNAcentral lists this ribosomal RNA (468 nucleotides) under uncultured bacterium. RNAcentral's name for it is "partial 16S ribosomal RNA". It matches the Rfam family "Bacterial small subunit ribosomal RNA", at positions 28 to 507 of the family's 1533-position model. The record is from RNAcentral.